RNAcentral lists this transfer RNA (72 nucleotides) under Camelus bactrianus (Bactrian camel). It matches the Rfam family "tRNA". Rfam says of the family: Transfer RNA (tRNA) molecules are approximately 80 nucleotides in length. Their secondary structure includes four short double-helical elements and three loops (D, anti-codon, and T loops). The record is from Rfam by way of RNAcentral. RNAcentral also lists the same sequence under 3 other names. Lineage: Eukaryota; Metazoa; Chordata; Mammalia; Artiodactyla; Camelidae.
GUGGGUAUAGCUCAGUGGUAGAGCCCAUGCUUAGCAUGUAUGAGGUCCUGGGUUCAAUCCCCAGUACCUCCA